This 4680-nucleotide long non-coding RNA is filed under the name Capsella grandiflora. RNAcentral's name for it is "long non-coding RNA (CGRA_LNC001131)". The record is from RNAcentral. Lineage: Eukaryota; Viridiplantae; Streptophyta; Magnoliopsida; Brassicales; Brassicaceae.
ACAAAAUUAGGUACACCCGUGUCUCAAAGCACUUGAUCUGCUGAUGAGGACAUGACUCACCCACUCAACUCAACUUUUAAGAACUCGACUGGUAAUACCGUACUAGUGUUUUCACAUCAAAUCUUGUGCUUUAUGUUAACAUUUGACAAACUUGGUGAACUUAAAUCUUUAGUUUAGUAGUAUAUGUGAAGAGGAGGAGGAGGUUUCCGAGUUGCAAAAUUCUGCAAAAACUCUCAAGAUGUAAACUUACUGCAAGAUUAUAUAAAACCAUCAUUCCAAAUCUUGUUUGGUCUCAUUGAUUCUGUGAACAACUUACUUCAUUACAAACUAGUUUAUGUUUAAUUUUGAUCAGAGACAAACGUACAAUGAAAACCAUCAUUCCAAAUCUUUAUAAGCAAGUUAAAGAAAGGCGAUGAGAGACCAAGAUCGCAGGUUUACUUGCACUGGUUGUUGGUUAAAGCUUUGGUUACACAAUGCGAAACGAUUCCAACCGGGCAGAAGAGAAGGCAAAGCGAAACAGAAUGCCUUGUUUCGAUCUGGUUCAGUAAACCAUCAUUAUAAACUUGCCUACAAGAGAAAACCCAAAACACGCGUUAUUAAGAAACAUGUUCGGAUAAAUUCAGAACCCGGUGAGAAGAAGAAGAAGCCCGGAUAUAUAUACCUGGCAGCGAAAAGAUCGACAACAAGAAGAUGAAUCCACGCAGAAGCAAGAGUCAUUUCACUUGAGAACAUUUUCGCUAUCCCCGACAACUGCAGAUGAAAUUAAACUUUAGAGAUUGCAAUGAUACAUUAUCAUAGACAUUCUUGUUUUUCACAAAUUUCAGGAAAGCGGAUAAACCUCUGGCAACAUGUAUUUACUAGAAAACAUGUAUUUGAGCGUCUCGGGUGUCCAAGAAAGGUAUAACAAAUACGCGUAUAACACGCCUAAGACGAUAUACGGUAAGCUACUCUCCAUACACUUCUUGGUCUGCACAAAGAAACUCAAUUUAGAUCCAAAUUCCUUUGAGUCUGCACAAGAAAUUGCAAAACUUGCAACAAAAAACAUAAUCUUACAAUCUCAGCUUUUGGAGCUACAACCAUAAGAGUGUAAAAGGGAAGAACUGCGGUAGUUCCAACUGCAAACACACUGCUUGCAAUCUGAGAUGUAGCCAACACUGCAACAUAAACAUAUCAGAGAUCAAAACCACAAAAAUGAGUGACAAAGUUUCAAGCUUUAAGUUCAAUGAAAGUGCAGAGAGAGACACAUUACAUGAAGCUUGUACGCCAGAGACUUUCUUGUAAACUACAGAGCAAGAAUUCGAUGAAACAUUGGGGUGAAGCGAGAUUCUUGAUCCUCCAACGAAGCUCCAAGGAUUAUCUAAUCUAAUUCUUGAAGAAUCAAGAAAAAGUUCCGAUCUUUUAACAGUAAAGUUGCGUUUCAUCAUCUGAAAUCAACCAAAAAAGAACGAACUUUUUUUACUUCAUCUCUUAAAAAUUCAGAAACUUUCAUAUAGAAACAGAGGCUCUCUAAAACAGGUGACCCACGGAGAAGUCAAUUCAAUGAUAUAUAAAAAAAACAUUCUGGGUCAAUUCAAAACCCAUUAAAUUCUCCAAAUUGAGUCAAAAGGUAAAGACUUUAAGGUUAUCUAUAACUAUAGUAAGAACCUCAACACAGAAUCUAAACCGACAAAAGAUUCACAAACACAGUAUAAGUGAAAUCUGGAGAUAAAAGAAGAGUACCGAGAGAGAUGAAGAAGAGAAAGGCUGAGAAAUGAGAGAAGUAAAAACCAUCUUUGAUUCAAAACUUCAAUACCCUUUGCCAAAAACUGAUCCUUCAUUACCUAACUUAACCAAACUCUCUCCAUAUAUAGAUGGAACACUGAGUAAUGAUGGUUUGAGAGGUGUUGUUUCCACUGAAUACGGAAGUGGAAGGGUGAAAGAAAAAAGUUGUCUUUCACUCUUUCUUCCUCAGUGUGUCCACAAUUAUAUGCAACACGUUUUUUUUUUGCUCAUACAGUCCUCCUCUUUAAAAAGUUUUCAUCUUUUACGAUAACUUUUCCUUUUUAAUAUAAUUUAGACAUUUUUUUUGACAUCGUAUAAUUUACACUUAUUUUUUUAGUAUAAAAGUUAAUAAUUCCUUUCGAUUUCAUCUUAAAGUUUUAAACUACAUUUUUUUAAAAAAAAAUAUUGGUUUACUUCAAUGAAAGAUAUCAUUUAGUACUUUAGUAUAUAAGUAUAUUAACGUAUAAUAUGUUUUAGUGAAUCAUCGUUAUAUAUAUAGAAUUCAACAUGUUGAUCGACAUUUAUUUAUAUGUAUUGGCUUUGAUUGGUAACACAAUUAAAAGUGGUUGGAGAUUCAAUCAUUCCUUAACUUAGUUACUAAUUAGAUGAACCAUCGAAAUAAACGUAUGAAACGAAUAGUAGAAGGUAUGGUUAAAAAGAUGGUAAAAACUUAAAUGAGGCGGUUGCCAACUGCUCAAAUGAGGCGGUUGCCAACCGCGUCGUUUAUAUGAUGUUGCCAAUAUGAGCCAUUAUGUGAAAGGGAGAUGGAAGUGAAAGUGAAUUUAGGUGGACAAGAGACAAGUCUAGUUUCAGAAAAAGACAAAGGUUGGUGUUGCUCCCAUUAAUUUUGUAAAACAAGAAAAAGAUAGAGAUAUAGUUAAUGGCUAAUAAUCUAAAUAUAUAACUCACUGCUUGAGAAAGUGGAUGAAGUAAGAUAACUUGGGUGGGCUAUUUGGUAUAUAACUUAAAAUUUAAUUAAUGGGCCUUUUGAUCCACCCAUUUUGUUUUUCUUUUGUAACUCCCACUUACACUGUUCAGUCAACAAAUAAAAACAAAUUUGUGGUAUCUUUCAAUCUUGUUGUGGGAUUUUCGCAUUUCGAUGUAUUCGAUGGUGGCCAAAACUAAGAUUAAAUGGUAAAAAGAUUUUUUCCUUAAUUUUUAAAAAGAUUUGAUUAUAUUUUCUGAUUUGAAAACUUUUACUAUAUCUAUAACUUCAAAAAACCGCAAAUUCUUACAAGCCUCAUAUAUCUUAUCCUAUUCCGACAAGUACCUAAACAACAUUACUACAAAUUAUACAUUUCACACUAUAGAGUUCAAAUAUGUGAACUUGGGCCAAGUCAUUUGAUUGAGGAAAUAUAUAAUAUGAUCCACAAGAUCCUUGAAUAUACUCUUGAGUAAAAAAACAAAAGAAUAUUCGAGACCUCUUAUCAAGAAUCCUAUCCUAAAGAAAGCACAUCCACUUAUGUUUCCAUCACUAGAUUUCAAGUGGGUCAUCAUCAUCUUUUACUUCAAGAUAUUGUUUAGUCUAAACCUCUCAAACCUCCUUAAUCGUGUGAUCUAAUCUAUCUUAUGUGUUUCUUCAACUUGUAAAUUUUCAUAUUUGUUGAGUCACAUUGUCCUAUUUUCUUUAAUGUUCAUAUGCAAUUCAAAUUUCAAGAGAUAUUAUAGAACAUUACAUAUUUAUUUCAUCAGAUAGUUGAGAAUCCGAUAGAAAAUGUCUCGCAAACCGGAAAACAAACGUUAAAUCCGGAAAUUAAAACUUUAGAUAAAAAUUAAAAAGAAAAAAGGAAAAAGCAGAAAUUGAUAUAAAAUCAAAGGUGGAGGAGGGGAUGAGAUAAAGUUUUUGAUAUGUUUUACAAGAAACAAAGCAAAGCAAAGAGAGAGAUUAAGCAUCGGUGAAGCGAGGGGGCUUGUAGGCAAUGAAACUGAUGCACUGCACUUGACGGGUGUUGUCGAAUCCGAUGAUCCUGAUGAAGGCUUCAGGGUACUCCUUCUUGCACUCGUUAACUUCCUUCAACACUUGUGCUGAGUCAGUGCAUCCGAACAAGGGUAGCUUCCACAUUGUCCAGUACCUUCCAUCGUAGUAUCCGGGGGUGUUACCGUGCUCACGGUGCACAAACCCGUUCUAUAAUAUAAAAAAAAACCAAACCACACAUGUUACGACCACAACAACAACAACAACAACAAAAGUCCAAGAUCUAAGCUAGUUUAUGUUUUUUUCUUACCUCCAACUCGAAUUCAACACAGGGAAUCCACUUGUUGCGGAGGAGGUAGUCAACUUCCUUUCCCAACUCGACCUCGGAAAGGUCAGGAAGGUAAGAGAGAGUCUCGAACUUCUUCUUUCCGAUCGGAGGCCACACCUUUGAGAUUCAGACAAAACAACAUAUGAGUUCAUGUAAUUCGAACGAAAAAAGAAGAAGAAGAAAAAAGAUGUAUGACCUUCAUGCAGCUAACUCUUCCGCCGUUGCUUGUGAUGGAAGUAAUGUCGUUGUUGGCCUUGCGGGUGGAAGGGAAAGCAGCGGAGGACUUAAGUCCGGUGAAAGGAGCGACCAUAGUGGCCUGAGCCGGGGAGGCAACCAUUGUAGCGGAAGAGAGCAUAGAGGAAGCCAUUGUGUUCUUUCUCUUUUACUCUUUUGUGUGACUGAGGUUCUGUCUAGUGCUUUGGUCAUCUAUAUAUAAUGAUAAUAACAAUGAUAACAAUCACUUGAGUGAUCGUAGGGUCGAGGAAUCAUGAGGCUUGAGUGGGAAAGGAUUUAGACCGUUGGAUGAUGAGUGUGUGGAUAUGUGUGUGUGUGUGAGGUUUUAAGUCACUUGGUAACGGCCACAGAAGCCUAAGGUAAGGUCCUGAGAGACCCUUAUCGGUUUGUAACGCUAGAACAGUGCCACGUGGAAGAUAAAUCUUAUCGUUAUCUAUGAGUG